UUUUUGUCGAGCCUGCGACUUUUGUCGCAGAAAGCUCGACAUAGGGAUAGCGAUCCGGCGGCGGCGGCGGCGUUAGCUAACUUCUUAAAAGCUUUAUAUUUUAGAAGAUGGAAGACCUGGAUGCUUCAUACUUUGUAUAUGGAUGCCUCAUGUUACGAAGUUUCCGUCAGUCACAUGUCCAAUGUCCUUGACCUCAUUUUCAUGGUUCAGUGACUACUUGAAAAAAAAGUUCAGAUUUUUUGUAAUGUUAAAUUCUCUCUUAUUAUAAGUAAUAGGAUAACUAUAUUUGGUAUGUGCGUACCUUGCAAGGUCCUCAUGCCCGUCAGACAGUUUUCACUUGACCUCGACCUCAUUUCAUGGAUCAGUGAACAAGGUUAAGUUUUCGUGGUCAAGUCCAUAUCUCAGAUACUAUAAGCAAUAGGUCUAGUAUAUUCGGUGUAUGGAAGGACUGUAAGGUGUACAUGUCCAACUGGCAGGUGUCAUCUGACCUUGACCUCAUUUUCAUGGUUCAGUGGUUAUAGUUAAGUUUUUGUGUUUUGGUCUGUUUUUCUUAUACUGUAUGCAAUAGGUCUACUAUAUUAGGUGUAUGGAAUGAUUGUAAGGUGUACAUGUCUAGCUGGCAGGUGUCAUCUUACCUUGACCUCAUUUUCAUGGUUCAGUGGUCAAAGUUAAGUUUUUGAGUUUUGGUCUUUUUUUCUAAUACUAUAUGCAAUAGUUCAACUAUAUUUGGUGUAUGGAAAUAUUUUAUGAUCUAUAUGUCAGUCACGCAGGUUUUAUUUGACCUUGACCUCAUUUUCAAGGUUCAUUGCUAAGUGUUAAGUUUUUGUGUUUUCGUCUGUUUUUCUUAAACUAUAAGCAAUAGGUCAACUAUAUUUGUUGUAUGGAAGAAUUGUUAGCUGUACAUGCCUGCCUAGCAUGGUUCAUCUGACCUUGACCUCAUUUUCAUGGUUCAUUGGUCAAUGUUUAGUUUACUUGGUUAAUGUGAAGUUUAUGUGACAGUUGUAAUAAAGCUUUAUAUUUAGGACUAUCAACAUAAUAUCAAUGAUUAGUAAAGAAGGCGAGACAUUUCAGGGUGUGCACUCUUGUUUUUAUUUAAUAG
Mytilus californianus (California mussel) is the source of this 1099-nucleotide long non-coding RNA. RefSeq lists it as uncharacterized. The record is from RefSeq and is a predicted model, not a curated record. The transcript has 2 exons. Lineage: Eukaryota; Metazoa; Mollusca; Bivalvia; Mytilida; Mytilidae.